UGAGGCCCGGCGGCCGUGCUUGCCAGGAAGGCCCGGGGCUUGAGGCCCUGGAAGGCCUGGCCCGUUCAGGAGUCCCGGCUGUUUGGGGGAAUGUCCCACGCCCUGUGGGGAUUUGAGCCGUGUCUCCCGGCCGACUUGGGUGUCCCGGUUGGUGUGUGUGGGGACUGGGAGGGGCUUGGUGCGGGCGGGAACCGCCGGGUAGCGACCACGUCUCGUCAGGGGGUUCGUGCCUGCUGCUGGGCACGGGAACGGCUCCGGGGGGGUCUUACGGGCGCUGAGGGGAUUCCGCAUCAUGGAGAGGUCAAGGGGAGUUGGUGGCCGUCACCCUUCGUCAGGGCAGGGUGGCAUCAGUGCUCCCGUGCUGGGGUUCCUGGAGAGCCGGCUGGCACGGACAGACUCUUGUGAGGGCAAGUGGCUGAUCGUGCGUCGGAUGGGUCCAGCAAAGGAGAGAAAGCUUCGGUGCGCGCGCGCUCGCCAGGGAAAGGGUGACAGCGGGUGGGACCGAGAGGGAGAGAGAGAGAGGGAGAGAACAAAGGAAGAGAGAGGGUUUCCGCAGGGGCGGUGAGUCCUGGCGGAAGUCCUGAGGCAGAGGAGGUGCCAGGGGUUUGGGUUUCCCGGUCGUGUCGGGGGUGUGGCGCAGGUUGCCCCAGUGGGCCUGAAUGUGCCUCCGUGGGGCACCUUGUUGCCGUGUUGGGGGGCGGGGAGCCGGCCUUGGGGAUCCAUCUUUCGGGCCCUGGGACGUGGGAGAAGAAUGCCGGGGCCUCUCUCUGUGCCCCUGGCACGCCUCUGUGCAGGCCGGGCCUGCACCACCCCCCGCGCCCGUCCCCCAGGCAGGGUCCGUGUGGCUGCAGACACCCAGAGAGAGGGGAGGCUGGGGAGGCUGGGGAGCCGUGGCAGCCCGAUGCAGUGCGGGUCUCCAGGUGGAGGGGCCCUGGUCCCCUGGCGCCAGCGUGGCCCUUCCUCCUUGUGGAAACCCUUGUGGUGUGUGUGCUCUCUCGCCCUGACCCAGGAGAGCAGCAUGGCGGACCCCUGAUCUUGUGGCGUGCCACCGCGCGAGGCCGAGGAGCUCCCGCAGCCCAGUGGGCGUGGCGUCCUUGUCGCGGCUCUGUGGAGACCUGGCGAUGGAGAGCAGCAUGGCGGACCCCUGAUCUUGUGGCGUGCCACCGCGCGAGGCCGAGGAGCUCCCGCAGCCCAGUGGGCGUGGCGUCCUUGUCGCGGCUCUGUGGAGACCUGGCGAUGGAGAGCAGCAUGGCGGACCCCUGAUCUUGUGGCGUGCCACCGCGCGAGGCCGAGGAGCUCCCGCAGCCCAGUGGGCGUGGCGUCCUUGUCGCGGCUCUGUGGAGACCUGGCGAUGGUGAGCGGCCCCUGUCCUCAGUGGUGGAGAACUCGCCCUUGGGGCGCUCGUCUGUCCGGAGCCCCGGGCCAGCCCCGCUUCUCGCGGGCUUUGGCCCCGGCAGGCCAGCUCCGGGGGCGUGAGGGGGAGCGUCCCGUCCUGCCCAGUGGCUCGUCUGUCUGGGCACGCCCCCAAACGCUGCCGUGAUGGAGCGGGUGGGAUCUCCAGGUGCGGAGGCCGUGAAUUUGCCUUGCGGCGGCGGAGCCCGUGCUCGGAUCGAUGAUGACUCCCUCUAAAGCAUUCCUUGGAAAUCUGAACAAAAUGAGUGAGAACUCACUACCGUCUCCUCAUCGAAACUGAGGUCCGGCACGUGGCGGCCACCGGGGGCUCGGGGGUAGAUGGGCCCUUGGCCUUGGGGCCUCUGGUGUCAGCAGCCACUCGGUGAGGUCUGGGGAAGGCGGCCGCCUGCCGGGCCCAGGAAGCAUGGGGCCCGUGCCCGCGCUGGCCUCGGGGGAGAGCCGCGUGCCCGAGCGUGCUGGAGAUCCCGGGCGGCCUCCCGCCGGCCUUGGGGGGUUUCGCAAGCCGUCGCGGGGGCCGAAAUUUGGGCCCGGCCGCGAGGCAAGUGUGCGGCCCUAGGGCCCCAGGGGGCGUCCUGGCCCAGGCCGGGCGCCCUUCUCAGGAUGCUGUGGGGAGACGGGAUCCCGGCAGGGUAGUGUUCUCUUUCUGCUCUGGGGACCCCUGAGGGCCACCUGCUGCAGGGGGUCUGUGGUAGCGGGGGCCC
RNAcentral lists this long non-coding RNA (2114 nucleotides) under Sus scrofa (pig). Its description in RNAcentral is "lncRNA (ENSSSCG00070002224.1)". The stretch from base 1607 to 1698 matches the Rfam family "Small nucleolar RNA SNORD116". Lineage: Eukaryota; Metazoa; Chordata; Mammalia; Artiodactyla; Suidae. The record is from RNAcentral.